Molecule: small nucleolar RNA, 107 nt
Filed under: Gossypium hirsutum (cotton)
Lineage: Eukaryota; Viridiplantae; Streptophyta; Magnoliopsida; Malvales; Malvaceae
Description: Plant small nucleolar RNA R71
Rfam family: Plant small nucleolar RNA R71
About the family: R71 is a member of the C/D box family of snoRNAs containing the C (UGAUGA) and D (CUGA) box motifs. Multiple nearly identical copies of this snoRNA have been identified in Arabidopsis, and it is thought to function as a 2'-O-ribose methylation guide for 18S ribosomal RNA.
Source: Rfam by way of RNAcentral
AUUCUGUGAUGAGAGAAUAUUUGUAAUGGUUCUUUAAACCUCUCCCAUGCCUCAUACAAGGACUCAUCAUCCAAUUGUUGGAAGGUAGUAAUCCCGUUCCUCAACUU